This is a long non-coding RNA of Hevea brasiliensis (rubber tree), 1171 nucleotides long. RefSeq lists it as uncharacterized. Lineage: Eukaryota; Viridiplantae; Streptophyta; Magnoliopsida; Malpighiales; Euphorbiaceae. The transcript has 3 exons. The record is from RefSeq and is a predicted model, not a curated record.
UAAACCUCCCAGUUUCAUAACUAUGGUACAACCAAACAGGUUCAAGCAAUACUCUGGCACUAAGUAAUUUCUGCCUUGCAUCUUCAUUGCUUUGUUCCUCAAUUUCUCUUUCAAUCUGAGGGAGCCCCAGCACCAACGCAAAGUCCUUCCUUUCCAGGCCAACAACUGAAUGGGUCAAGAAAAUCACUCCAACAGCAUCCAGUAUGUUAGGAUUUCUUUUCAACAGUGGAAUUAUCAUUUCUAUAAAUUUCUUAAACAUGGGAAAUUCCUCUGGAUCUGAAACUUCAUGAUCAUCCUCAUCUGGAUUAACUUCUUUCAUUUCAAAGAGCUCAGCCUUCGCCAAAAUUAAAGGCCAAGAUGGAUAAUGGAGCUUAACAUGUGAUAAUGCCGUCAAAUAUGUGCUUUCUACUGGAGUAUGUCUAAGUAUGCUCCCUAAGCCCAAUGCAAGAAUCAAAUCAGGCAGCCAAGACUUUGCAACUGCAGCAAGGUGUGCAGCAAAACUAGAGCCCAAAUAGAUUUCAAAUGAGGUAAUUAGGUCAAGCAUAUCAUUGGCCAGGUCAAAAGCUUCUUGUGGAGGUGGUGAAGCUUCAGUAGCGUCUUUAAGUAUAAGAUUGAGUAACUUGGCUGCGUAGCUGAAAGAGCUCUUCAGACAGAUAAUACUGUCUUUCAAAUUAUCCUCCUUAAAUUGCUGUCCUUCAAAAUAUUGUUGUCCCAAGACAAAGAUGACGUGUUUUACAUAUGAUGAUGUAAAACUUAAGCACCUUCUGUUAAGGUGAGAAAGAAAGCCCAUUGCAGUGGAAUCAACAAUGAACUUGAGAACUGCAGUAAAUUGCCAGACGUUCCAGCAUCAUCUGCUGCAAGCAGCUUCUCAGUACAGUUAAGCAGGUGAUCUACUGUCUCAUCCAACAAUGUCCGCUGAAAAGUAAAUUUUAAGGAAAAAAAAAAUUGAAAUACAUCAGCAACAAAUUUUUUUCUUUUUUUUUUUUUCCUUUUAUUGAAUGGAACAAAAUUUCCAUAUUUAUCAAAAGUAGAAGCAGAUUUUGAGCAAUUAAUCGUGAGAAAUAAAUAGGUGAAGCAACAAAGAUGUGCUUCUUUCAUAAGUUCUCGAAGGUUAAACAAUUAUUGUAAUUAUAAGAUGUGUGUUUAUACAAGGAUAAAGCAUUUCCCGUUU